Molecule: long non-coding RNA, 1692 nt
Filed under: Nicotiana tabacum (common tobacco)
Lineage: Eukaryota; Viridiplantae; Streptophyta; Magnoliopsida; Solanales; Solanaceae
Description: long non-coding RNA (NTAB_LNC015562)
Source: RNAcentral
GCACCAUUACACCGUCAAUUCCCCCAAAAACACCCUCCAAUUCCCCGAAUUUCAGAUCUGAAAUUCAAUCCCAAAACCUUAGUACGGCCAAAUCACGACAAAACCUCACCAGGACAUCUACCCACUCCCCUCACCCCUAAUAUCCCACCGGUUUGCCCAAAAGGCCUCUUAAAUUUGCGCAAUUUCAGAUCGAAAUUCUGGAAAGAAAGAAAAAAUUAAAAGCCUCUACUGAGUGAUUCUGAAAGUUCAAAUGGUUCAGACCUACAUGAGUCAUUUUCUCUUAACAGGAUCAAUUGAUUCAUGUGGGUUUGAUUUAUUUUUUUUCAAACCUGCCCUAACCAGUCCGAGCUCCGGUCAGGUUCUCCGAAUCCAACUUGUUUCAUCCAUUAGUAUAGGUAAUUUCUUGCUUGGUUUCUAUUUUUCUUUUCUUGGCCAUUUUCUUUCUUUGAUUGAUUCUUCGUGUGGUUGUUCUGUUUAUAGUUGCAUGACUUAGGUUCUUAUUUUUCGUUCAGAAUUGUUUGUUAAAUUCUGCGUUUAAUUAUUGAGACUAGUCAGUAGAUUUAGGGUUGAUUUAUGCAUAUUUUUCAAUUACUAGUUGGUCAUUUUUUCGGUUAGGUUUUGUCUAAAUUGGUUUAGCUUGUUUCCAGUCGAUUUCAUUUAAAAUCAGCAUGUUAGUUUCCUGCUAUUAUUUAAUUCCGAGAUACAAUGAUGUUAGUUGGUAAAAUAGGUUCAAUUCUCAGAAAAUGGCUCGUUAAUUAGGAAUUCUGGAUUCAUGUUAGGUUCAAAUAUUUCUAUUUUGUGUUGUUUUGAUCUCAAGCUCAAUGAUAAAAGAAUUUAGGUUCCGUUAAAAGCUUAAUUGAAUUAGGAUUUGUCCUAUUUGAUCUUCUUUGUUUUUAAUUCAGAUUUUUGUGUUGUUUGCUGUAGUUUCUAAUUGUUAAACACUCCUAGGGUCUUAAUUGAAUAGAUGAAACUUAGGAGGUUAAAUUGGGAAUAGGAGAUCAGAUUUUUAGAAGGGAAACUUCUAGAAUCUGGGGCAGCUGGCCCAAUUUUGGCUAGCACAAAUGCUGGAGCCAAUCAAAGGCUGCCAGCUAUCCCAAUUCUGUUAGGAAAGAUGCAUUGUGAGGGAAUAAUUCUCAUUCUGUUUUCAGCAGCACAUGGCACCCCAAAAGGGCUAUAUAUAGACCUCUCUUUCACUCAAAAAUCAGAGAUUGGAAAACCCUAAGGAAAAGAACAAAAGUUUCUGCACUGCUUUUCAUUGGAAGUUGGCUCGAAUUGGUUUCUUAUUUUUCCUCUAGAAGAAUUUUGAAAAGACUUUCAUUGGUUUAUUGGUUUUCUGGGUUUUGGCCAUGGACUAAAGAAGUUGGGGUUGUUGUUAUUUUGCUUCUUUGCUCACACUAUUGUUUUGGCCGAGAUCCUCACAUUUUGUUUUGCUUUUGGUAACCAGGUAUUCUCAUGAACUUCUGAAUGGAAAAUGAAGAUGUAUAGCAUGUUUCAUUUAGUUUUUUUUGGUAAUAUUAAGAUGCAGUUUAUUUGGUUGACCCUUCUGUUCUUUUUUGCGAAAAUAUUUUGAAUCAGGAUAUUAGCUGGAAUUUAGUAUUUAUAUGAAUGAUCAUUUUGCAUUAGUUAGUCCAUGUAUGGUUCUCAAUAGUUUGAAAACUGUCAAGCAGUUAUAGUAGUUUACAUGGGUUUCAC